UACAGGGGGGGCAAGCGUUGUUCGGAAUUACUGGGCGUAAAGGGCUCGUAGGUGGCCAACUAAGUCAGACGUGAAAUCCCUCGGCUUAACCGGGGAACUGCGUCUGAUACUGGAUGGCUUGAGUUUGGGAGAGGGACGCGGAAUUCCAGGUGUAGCGGUGAAAUGCGUAGAUAUCUGGAGGAACACCGGUGGCGAAGGCGGCUACCUGGACCAGCACUGACACUGAGGCACGAAAGCGUGGGGAGCAAACAGG
This 253-nucleotide ribosomal RNA is filed under the name uncultured bacterium. Its description in RNAcentral is "partial 16S ribosomal RNA". It matches the Rfam family "Bacterial small subunit ribosomal RNA", at positions 524 to 776 of the family's 1533-position model. The record is from RNAcentral.